Molecule: ribosomal RNA, 110 nt
Filed under: Pogona vitticeps (central bearded dragon)
Lineage: Eukaryota; Metazoa; Chordata; Lepidosauria; Squamata; Agamidae
Source: RNAcentral
UUAUGCAUUUCACACUGCACCCAGCAAUCCUCUCUGAUUUUGGAAAUAAGAGUCCAGUCUAGUUAGUACUUGGAUGGGAGACCACCUGGGAAUGCUGGAUACGGUAUUGG